AGACAUUUCACCUCGUUCUACUCCCAACAUUCUGCUGCAUCAAGCUUCUGAUACGAGCUUAUGCAUUGGUGUGGAACCUUAAUACCCUUUAGUUCAGAAGGAGGCUUAAAACUGAGGAGUCUGUCACUCUCAAUUCUUUUACUAUUACUACUUCAUUUGGCAUUACUUUAUGGAAUAUUUUGCUAGUUUCUUAUUUACUUGGGACUUUCAUCCAUUUUCGUGAAGCCAGAGGGGUCUAUGUUCUCGUCAAAGCCAUUGCAAUUUAUGUUUUAGAUGGACAGAAAGCAACACCAUUAUUACAUGAGUCGAUUGCUCAGAGUUGUGUUGUAUUGUAGUUUUUAGGAAGUUAGUAAAGAUAAAUUUGUAUGUCGAGAUGGUGAUGAUAAACUUCUUUUUUUGAGUUGUAACAUGCUCCGAGAAUGAAGGAUGGAGGUUCACUGUGAAAAGCAAAUGUACUCUGUAAUGAACUCAGUGUUCAGUUGUGUAUAUUGUCUAAUUUUUUCCCAGUAUAUUUUCUGAUUCUUAGCUCGUUGGUAGCAUGGUACUGUCUUUCUGGUUAUGUUGUGAUUAUUCUAUUGUCGCAUUUCAUCUUCUUGACCGAGGGUCCAUCGGAAACAGCCUCUCUACCCCAGGUAGGGGUAAGGUCUAGUUGUUGUGGAUUUUGCUAAAUUAUCGAAAUUGCUGCAUGUACAGGAAGUAAAUAUAAUUUGUAUCUAGAUAUAGAAUGCAUCUCUUUGAUAUUUU
Nicotiana attenuata is the source of this 744-nucleotide long non-coding RNA. RefSeq lists it as uncharacterized. The record is from RefSeq and is a predicted model, not a curated record. The transcript has 3 exons. Lineage: Eukaryota; Viridiplantae; Streptophyta; Magnoliopsida; Solanales; Solanaceae.